UACAGAGGUCUCAAGCGUUGUUCGGAUUCAUUGGGCGUAAAGGGUGCGUAGGCGGCGCGGUAAGUCGGGUGUGAAAUCUCGGAGCUUAACUCCGAAACUGCAUUCGAUACUGCCGUGCUUGAGGACUGGAGAGGAGACUGGAAUUCCGGGUGUAGCGGUGGAAUGCGUAGAGAUCCGGAAGAACACCGGUGGCGAAGGCGGCAUCCUGGACCAACACUGACACUGAAAAGCGAAAGCCAGGGGAGCAAACGGG
RNAcentral lists this ribosomal RNA (253 nucleotides) under uncultured bacterium. RNAcentral's name for it is "partial 16S ribosomal RNA". It matches the Rfam family "Bacterial small subunit ribosomal RNA", at positions 524 to 776 of the family's 1533-position model. The record is from RNAcentral.